Molecule: ribosomal RNA, 418 nt
Filed under: uncultured microorganism
Description: bacterial SSU rRNA
Rfam family: Bacterial small subunit ribosomal RNA
Source: RNAcentral
GAGUUUGAUCAUGGCUCAGGACGAACGCUGGCGGCGUGCUUAACACAUGCAAGUCGAACGGUAAGGCUCCAGCUUGCUGGGGUACACGAGUGGCGAACGGGUGAGUAACACGUGGGUGACCUGCCCUGCACUUCGGGAUAAGCCUGGGAAACUGGGUCUAAUACCGGAUAGGACCGCACCGUGAGGGUGUGGUGGAAAGUUUUUUCGGUGUGGGAUGGGCCCGCGGCCUAUCAGCUUGUUGGUGGGGUAAUGGCCUACCAAGGCGGCGACGGGUAGCCGGCCUGAGAGGGUGGACGGCCACAUUGGGACUGAGACACGGCCCAGACUCCUACGGGAGGCAGCAGUGGGGAAUAUUGCACAAUGGGCGGAAGCCUGAUGCAGCGACGCCGCGUGGGGGAUGACGGCCUCGGUUGUAACU